AGUGGAGGCAAGCAUAGCUUGCUGGCGGUCUCUGCUUACCUGAGUACUUGCAGAGAUAUUCUGGCAUGCGCUCGGAUUCAUUCCGUCCCGUGCGUUGGUGACUUCCUCCUCUCUCCUCUGCGCCCUUCUCAAGACAAGAUGAGCAGACCACCAGUGGGAGGAGCAACACUGAGCAUUGGAGCUGCAACCGGACUGGAAAAUGGAGAGGGACAGAGCCAUGGGUGAAGAGACAAAGACAGUGAUGGGUGAAUCAAUGGAUGGUUUAGUGGCCUUAGUGGGGCAGCAGUUCUGACCAGGGAGAGCUGCUGUACAUAGAAUCAUAGAAUGGUUUAGAUUGUAAGAGACCUUAAAGAUCAUUUAGUUAUGCUCUCUCCCGUGGGCUGGCUGCCCCCCAUCAGAUCAGGCUGCCCAGGGCCCAUCCAUGGCGUUGGGCACUUCCAGGGAUAGAGCACCCACACUUCUCUGCGCAGUCUGUGCCAUGUCCUCACAACACAUCCCCUUGCUCUGGUAAUGAGGCCAUUGACUCCAGUUUCACCUGGAAGCCAUAUCCUGCUGUUGGUCACAUGGAGAAACCUCCUGUGCCUCCCCACAUGGCCCAGUGCUUCUGUUCCUCCGCUGAGCAGCCACUUCUGCCCCAUCCCUGGAGGUACCUAUGGCACCCUGAUCUAGUGGUUGGCAACCCCGCCCACGGCAUGGGGCUUGGAGCCUUAUAAUCUCUGAGGUCCCUUCCAACUCAAGCCAUUCUACGAUCCUCUGAUUCUUCCCUCCCCUGCAAGAAGCUCCAGAUCCCACAUACCCUGCUUGGCAUCCCAAACGUGCCAAACUGGCAGGAGCAAAAGCAACUUCUUAUUUUUCUUUUCUGUCCUCAUUCGACUCUGGCCCACGGCCAGUCGCUAUCUUCAUUUAUUGUAAUGAAUUUGUGCCAUUAAUAUGUUGGCUGUGCGGAGCAAUCGCAAAGUAGUACAUUAGGACAAAAGCUAUUGCUCUGGAUGCCAGCGCUUUAUUGCUGCUGCUGAUUUACGGGCUGAUAAGCAACGCCGCGCGUCCUUGAGAUGGGAAAAGGACAGGUAGUGUGGCAGGGACCCGCAUUGUGGCAGGGUGUGGGAUUUCCCAGGCCUCGCACAGCUGGGGGUGGACUUGACGAUUCCAUCUUUUCUCUGGAAAACGUCUUCGCCUGAGUGUGAGCCCGGAGGAACGCCGCAGACAAAGCCAGUGUGAAAGUCCCAGGCGCUUGGAAAGGAGAUUAAAUGCCGUCACAAUACUGUAGGUUUGGGAGCUUCUGUGUGAGCAGCUCAUAAUAGAGCCAUGUCAUCACUUUAUUGCAAAGAUACGAUAAAGACAGGCAUUAUACGGUGUUAACAUUUAACAGCCAUAACUUAACUUUCAAAAGACUUCGCAGACCAAGUCACAGUGAAUUGUUUCUUUCUCCGCGUUUAAUCCCGGGCUCACAUGCUAUAGAGCAAGAGCAUUUACAGCCAGCGCUAAGCACAGACAGCCAGACCUGUCUGCCUGUCAGCUCCGCGAGUAAUCCCCUGAAGAGCAGCCGUACAUAGAGUGAUUUAAAGGGAAAGCAUGGAACAAGGGGAGCACAGACAACACAGAAACCACUGUCAGAAAGAGAUGCCAAGCAGCCCUGUCCCGGGGCUGAUCCUGUGCCCAGCAGUGCCAGUCUCCCUGCAGUGCUUAUGGCUACAGGAUACGACCCGGAGUUGCCAAGUUAUAGGAAGAACUCAAGCACCCGGAGUUUAUAAAAGUGGGAUGACGUGGGAGACGGCCUCUCGAGUCAAAAAGCGACUGCUGUGGAGCUGGGAGGAAAAUCCCCAUGGCUGGAGCAGGGGGAGAGCAUCACGGCUGUGACCCCAGAGCUGGGGUCAGCCCCCGCGCAGGGACAUCCCCCUGGGAAAUGGAGCGGGCAGUGCGGGGCACGGUCACUCCCCCUCUUAAUGAGCCCUGUCAGCUUGCCUUGCAUUUUAGCUAAUUAAUUACUCCACUUCGGAGCUGCGCUUUGAGUUGACACCAGCACCACAGGAAGGAACGGGGGUUGAUUUCAAUCCCCUCUCUGUUUGUUUGCUCUCACAGUCCGGAUCCACACAACAGGAAACGUUGGGUGAGUGCUCAGGGAAAAUAGUCAGCAACGCUAUCUGAGAGCCAUAUCAAAGAGAUUUGGGCCAGAAGUGGACCCAGCUACUGUGAAGCUAUUAGCAGCAUCUCAGGCUUCCUGUGUACAGCGGGUUAGGGGGCGAGCACUGCCCACAUGUUUGCUUGCUGGAAUAGUCACCAGCACUGCCAUGAACUCACAGCCCUGAACAGACCUUCCGAAAGUAGUUCAGAGUGGAAGCAGCAGGAAGGAGGGAUUUUCUGGCCUGGAAUAUUUUCGCCCUUUAAGGGCUACAGUGCAAGAUCUUCCUUGAGUGGGUCUGUUGCUGGCAUGCUGGGAGCAAGCAUGCACCAACGCAUGCAAGAUGGCAAGAUGGGUGAGCGAGGCUGUGCAGAUAGCCUGACCUCACUCAGGGCAGCAACACCAGGACAACAGCAUUGGGAUCAUCACUGGGAAAGCUCAGAAAGCUCCAGCGGAGUGAUGUAUAAGGAAAAGCUGCAGUGCGGGGCAAAUUGUAUCUCCCAGCACCUGGAGCCUGCAGCCUCACUAUGAGGAGGAGGAGGAGGAGGAGGCAGUGAACCCAUCCCAUGGCAAGGCAAUGGGUGAAGUGGGCAUCUGCCUAAAUCCCAUCUGGCCACACACCUCAGAGCUGGAACAUGCAAGAUUUUGUUGAUGGGACCAAUAAUCAGAGCACAGUGUAAUCAGCCCCCUGGGAUGUCUGAGGCAAGCAGAAACUACUGGCUUCUUUCACAAAGCACAAAGCUGAUGUCUGAGUCGGCACGUUUGAUAACAAACGUGGUUUCUCAGAGCCCCUUUGUUAUCAGGUUGUGCUGAGGAGGAGCACACCAGGACACGAUGAUGCUGACAUCCAGAUGAGCACAGAAAUGAUAACAAAGCCCAGCAGGACAGUUUGUUCACUUCUCCCUCCAGCAAGGGCAUUGCUGGUGGUCUUAUCUCUUGCAAAGCACAAACCAGAGCAGCCAGGAGCCUUGCAUAGUUUUCCUGGGCUCCCUGCUGGAAGCACCCCAUGAAUGAGGUGCCCAACCCCAGGGCAUCAGGCCUGCAAGCAUCCCACCCUGAUGGUUGGGAGAAACUGCAGGAGUGGCAGCAAGGACAUUGGGAAGGGAAGUUGGUGAUACAGCAUUUGGGACUGCAGACUUUCAGAAUGCCCAGACCCAAGCUUGAAGUGUGAGGGACUCACAACUCCAUAUCAUGGGUAACCAGAGACCUGGAAGAACAAACCCAGAGAUGGUGCCAUACCCCAAAAUGAUCCCUUCCAAACCUGAGUGACAGACAUCCUCUCUUAUAGGGCCACCCAACUGGGAUAUCACCAUCCUUCCCAGGGCGUUCAUUCCAUCACAAACAGCUUUCAGGCUCUGGUCAUCAGGCAGAUUGUCCAGCUUUGGCAAUUCCAAGCCAUGUUCACAAGACACGGGCUAAUUUCUGAUAAAUUCUCACCAACUGAAUCCAGCUCUGCUAGAUCCUGUUACAAUGAGAGGGGAGAAGAGAUGGCAGUUGGACCACUUGCUGUUGAGGUCUUGGAUGUUGCAAAAGACUUUAUUCUGUCCUAUCUCCGGCCCAGACUGUUUUGCUGAGAUCUCAUCCCAUCCCUUCUCCUCCCUGCACAGAUAUACUCCAGCCAGGCUCCAUUUCAAAUCUCUCCUGGGUUGCUGGUUUCAAAGCUUUCCAAAGAGUAUCAUCAUCCAGGAGACAGAUGUCUAGGACUACUGGGCUUCCUUGGGGGAAAGCAGCACUGAGGAUGGUUUUGUGGUAGCAUCUUUGCACCAAGCCCUGCUUAAAAUGUAGACAGUGAGCUGGAAGCAGCAAAGAAAUGUUUAUGGAAUUGCUUUCACGGGCACUGUGCAUGUGGUGAUAGGUUUAUAAAUUAGGUCAUACCAUUUCCUGAAAUGUAUGUGCAACGUUCUGGAUAUUUAAUGGCAUAAAGACGUAAUUAGCUGCAGCUUUGGAAAACAGCGUCACCUUGAUUUGAAGGAAACUGUUAAAUAAGAUUGGGUUACCAUGCUGAGCAACCCAUUGCAAAGAUACAAUCUGAGGAGGGAACCUGACCCUGCCAGGAUUUCCUCUGCAGUGUGUUUGCAUUGUAUAUGCAUCUAAUCUGGAGCAAAUAUCUACAUUUCUCUGUACCCCAUUCAGACCUAAAGGAAAAAAAAAGUAAGCUGAGUAGCUUCACUGAAUGCUAAAAUAGAAGAAAUUUGUUGCAGGAAGGAAAUUUUAAGGUUAUGAUCUGCAUGGUCCCAGGUGCAUUUUUAAAGCAUCUGAAAUGUUAGAAGUCUCCUAUGUCCUCCAAGAACCUUGAGAAGAGAGAGAAAAUGCUGCAUAGCAAAGGUCUUUAGGAAGAUGGAAUGUGAAAACAGAUUAAAUAUAAGAUUUGGGAUCCCAAUGACCCCUACGUGUUUUUCAGUCAACAGCAAAAUACCGUGAGAGACUUCAGUCUCCUUCAUGUAACCAGCAAACCCCGAGGUAUCCUGAGACACCAAACCACUCUGGGUCUUCUAAACUACCCAACCACUUGUCCCCUUAUCUUUUGACCAACAAGGCUUAGUUUUCAGAGGAAGUGAAUGAGAUAUUUUAACAGGGUAAGCCAAGGCUGGUGGGAGAUGCAGAAUAGAUGCCCAUAUCCUGAGGUCACAUCCCCGUGCUGAAGGUAUGGCUACACACCAUACAGAAGUGUUUUGAGACCUCCAAAAUCAGCAGAAUUGCUAAGUGACAGGGCACCUAGAGCAGACAACUCACUGCAUUGACUGCUGACAAUGAGCUGACAGUGACACUUCCAGCAAAUAAUAAAUGGCUGAGAAAGAGGAAUUUGAAAUGCAAUGCCACUGAUGAGCCAAUGAGCAUGGGCACCUGGAGGGCACGGUCUCUUCUCCAUUUAGGAAUCACAGCUUUGCUUUUGGGCCCUCUUGACCCAAAAAGAAAACCCCAAUUAUGUACUAAUACAGAAACUGAGCAGUCUACUCUGUAGAGAAAUGUGUUGACAAAAAAUAUUGCUUUCAAAAGAAAUGUUCUUUAUUUUUUCAAGAGAGAAGGAAACCAGAUAAUUUUUCAGGGCCAGGAGAAGAAAACAAAAACAAAAACAAAAACACAAUAACAACAUCAGAAUAUCUUUGUUUUGUAAUGCUUGAAAAUAACUCUCAGGAGUCAAGGAGAAUGGUGAUAAAAAUGAGAAAUGUUGAAAAUGGGAAGAAGGGAAGGAAUGAGAGGGCGGGGUGCAGGCUUGUAGGAGGAGCUGCAAUUACUUGACAGAAAAACAGGGGUCUGCUGAAUCUGUAGGGUGUUUCAUUUACAGUCCUUUGGUCUGGAGAAGCACUGAACUUACACUGAACCCCAUCCCCGAGGUGAAACCUUCCCUCUCCCACCUAUGCAGCUCAGGCUCCCAAGAAGCACUGUUUCAUUCCCCCUCUCUCCCCUCCAUCCAUCUCAAUAUCCAUGUUCCCAAGUUGCCUGAUGUGCCGUUUAUGACAGAAAUAACCUGCCUUGGCACUGACACUUGAAUUUCACUUAAGGUUCGUCGCGUUAUUAAUGACAAGAUCAAUAUUGCCAAAGCCGCAGUAAGAGCUCUCGCCAUCCAUCUGCCUCCCACCCUCCCCUCCGAGGCGCUCCAUGUUUUAAUGCUCCAUCUUCUUUCAAGGGUAUGGGCUCAGCAUGGGAAGGAGAAUCUCCCGCUGCCGGGGACGCGGUGCUCAGUCCUUGGCAGCUGCCCCAAUGUAUUUCUCCCGAGCCUUGAAUGCUGAGUGAUGAGGUUUGGGAGAGGGAUAACCCACAGGCUCUGUCUAAUCAGAGAGACUGUGGUGGCCUUGCUGAACCCUCCCGGCACAAUUAGGUAAUCACGUUGGCAGACAAGCCUGAUUCAUGUCGCUUUACCAUCAGCAAAGGGAUAUCUAUCACCCCUGCGACAGACCCGUUAUUGCCGCAAACCACUUCAGCCCAACCGGUUAAAAACCCCUUGUAAAAGCAAAAUAAAAAAAGGGGCUUGGACAUAUUUUAUGGCAAAUUAACUUCUAACGUAUUCUUUCCUGCCUCGUAUUAAGAUCCCACUCUCAGCUGACACCUGCAGCAAGGCCUGUGUUCCUCAUGGCAUGUAAGGGCUCAAGAUCUCUGCAGACACUGUGGGACAUUCAGGACAAUGCUGAUUUGCUCUCACUUCUCUCCAUUGGCUCCAGAGGAACCCAAGGUGAGGUUUUGGGUGGUUGUGAAGAGUCAGGAGUUGGACUUGAUGAUCCUUAUGGGUCCCUUCCAACAUGGGAUCUUCUGUCGUUCUAUGAUUCUUGUUCCAUGGACUGACCCUAUUCCUAUGAUGACAGCUUUCCAGGAAUGCCAAGGCAAAGGCACCCAAACUCAACCUGAAGCACCCAGCCUGCUGAUACCAAGCUUCUUUAGCUCUGUUCCCACUGGACCACCUAUGGAUGUCGAUGAAGACAACAAGGAGACUUAAUGGAUUCAAACAAGCUUUGGAUGAAUCCUUCAAAGCACCCUGGAAAUUCAGCUGUUUCCCCAGUUCUACUCUGCACAGAUCCACAGGUGGACCAGGAAUGGAUGGAGGAAUUAUAUUAGCCCCAAUGUGCAGUGCAGCACCCCUGCUCCUCAUCCAACAGAUCCUGAAGGGCCGUCCCCAAAUCUGUGGUUUUAUUGCUCUACUGGAAUUGUGCUCUGGACCUGAAGACUUCCAGGCAAAGCACAGAGCUUUUCCAUAGGCUCCAGAGGGCUCCUCAGGGCUGAGCCAUUCCCAGAACCGCCCGUCCCUGACCUCAGACAAGGCUCCAAUUAGGACUUUCAGUUAUUUUUCUUUGAAACAAACACAGGGCAAUGGGGAAAAGCAUCCUUAUCAUCUGGGGAUAUUCACAUUUUUACUACAUUUUCUUUCAGUUCUGAUUUUUUUUUUCCCCAGAACCAGUUAAUCCAUUUCUUUUGGACUUGUACCUUCAAGGCAAGAGCUGCAGCUCAACGUGCGGCCAAGCCAUUCCAGAAAAAUGCCUUCACUACAGAACAUGAACUUCCCAUUAUAGAGGCUGCAUAUGUGCUCUGAUUGAUCCCUAAACUGGCAUUUCAAUUUAUUUCCCACUGGAGGACUCAUUCAUUACAGAGAAAUAAGACUAUUAAAUGCAUGAUAAAGCACAUGCAUCAACAGACGAGAAUGGUGGUUACUUUACUGUACCUAUCUAAACAAUAGCUGAUAAAUAAAGCCAUUCAUGAUCACAUAGGACCUUUUAAAAUGAAUAAGGAAACAGUAAUAUGCUCAUUAUUAAAGCAGCUGAUUAAAAAAAAUAGCUUGCCAGCAUUAACACCACACACACUUUGCUGCUGCAUCCCUGGCUGUGGGACGGAGGCAGCUCGAAGGCACAGAUUGCGAGCAACCUGCCUGCAACCUGCCCAAGUCCCAGCAGCCUGCAGAUGUGUGCAGCUGUGCUGAUGUGGCAGCAGGCUCUUACCUCCAGCAGCAGGGAAAGAUGCCCAAAGGAGCCCAUGCAAGCUGCUUUUUUCAAGCUUCCAUCGCUUUUUCUUUAACUACUGCAUUGACUUUCUACCCAACAGCCUCUGGAGAGAAGCAGAAUAGUGGGGCAGGUGUAGAAUUCUUUAUACAUAUCAUAGAACCACAGAAUGGCUUAGGUUGGAAGGGACCUUAAAGAUCAUCGAGCUCCAACCCCAUGCAUAUGUACGUAUGCAUAUGGUUGGUUUCUUUCUUUUUUUUUUUUACCUGUCAAAAGAGGAAAGAUAGAGAUGGCAAAGAAAGACAAGACAUGGAGAAAGGAAAAUGAAGAGGAAAGGAGAAGUGGAUCUUUAUGAAAAUGAGGAGAUAGGUGUCCAUAAAGGCUCUGAAGCGGGACAUAAGAGCAGUGGCUUUGAAGUUUCUUUGCAAAUCAAACCAGGCUGGUCCUUUCUCUGCCCAUUUUUGAGGACACUGAACAGUCCCACCACUGCUACAACAACCCCAUAAAAAUUUACUGUCAGCUUUUUUUCUCUGUCCUUUUCCCCCACUUCGACCACAUCCUUAGACCUCCAAGAAGCCAAUGCCAGGCUAAGUAGUUGUGACAUAACUCAGCAGGUUUUCCUGAGCUCUAAUUGAAUUAUAAGCCAUCACUUUAUGGCCGCAUGUAAAAAUCCCACAUGUUCCUUGCACAGCAUAGUCAGUUCUUGGACCCAGUGGUGUGGCACUGGGCUGUG
RNAcentral lists this long non-coding RNA (8278 nucleotides) under Gallus gallus (chicken). RNAcentral describes it as "lncRNA (ENSGALG00010030053.1)". Lineage: Eukaryota; Metazoa; Chordata; Aves; Galliformes; Phasianidae. The record is from RNAcentral.